GGGAGUCGGCGACCGCUUAGUGACGAGCGAUGAUUUUAAAGAGCAGAAUAAAAGGUUUUCCCGUGCCUGCCCCACAGCCCCUCCAGCUCGAAUAAUGGAGAACUGUCAAUGCACUCCGCGAGCGGUGGCCCAUUGUACGCAGCUGAUGGCGAGGAGGCGACUGGGGGUAGCAGGGGCUCCUUGCCCUCGUCCCUAUGCCCAAAUAAACGCGCAAACGCGCUCCCGUCUUCUGGUCAGUUAAAAGGUGAAACGAACACGAUUAAAAUAGACCAAAAGAAAAGAAAGAAAAGAAAACCUUUCUAUGUACAGAUUCUAAAUCGUACUCCCCAUACAGUCAGAGGCAGGGAGUCGAGGGCAGAGGCAGCAGGCGGAGAGAGGGAGAUAGGGCGAGGGAAGGAGAACGCGGAGAGAGACGAAGGGAGUGGGAGACCAGCGACAGCGAGCGCCAGGGCACCGCAGGCACACUGGAUGCCCAGUCCGCCGGCCCAGCCGCCCUCGGACCCUGGACCGUGCGUCGUGGGCACCAGAAACGAGACUCGGCCAAAUCCUGCCUCACCAGCAGGUAGAUGAAACUCAAGAGAAAAGGUGUGGAUAAAUGAAACUAGCCCAUGAUGAACCUGUUUUCUCCGUGACCACAAUAUUAACCAGGAUGAAUGGCGGUGGCAGUGGGCCUGCAUCACAGGUUGCAGCAGAUGUUCUCAAUAUUUCUAUUAAAAUUUCCUUAUUUCCAUAUGCAAGAGGAGCCCCAGAGCUGCAUCCUUAUGGUAGCUACCAUGCCGUGAUGUAAGCUGCCAUUCACUGGGGAGCUUUGGCAAUAGAAUUGGCUAGAUCAGGAAGCCUAUGUCAACUAUGGAACAACAACUUGCAGCUCAUCUCUAUUGAUGAUGGAAUCUCGCUAUGUCACCAGGCUGGAGUGCAGUGGCGCAACCUCGGCUCAGCGCAACAUCCGCCUCCCGGGUUCAAGUGAUUCUCCUACCUCAGCCUCCUGAGUAGCUGGGAUUACAGGUGAAACAGUCGCAAAUGGAAUUCCAAGAAACAUUCUAUAUACACUGCCUCUAGGACUGGGACAGAUAGCCACUGAGUACCUGCUUCAAAUCACCCUGCACGUUUUCUCUUUGGAAAGAUAAGCACUGGAGAACCAUCUCGUUACCUUCAGCAGAAAUGGAAACAAAUCAAGACAUUAAGAAUGCCGCAGUGGACAGCAGUUAUGCAAGGUUCAGCAGAGGAAGUUUUCAAGAUGGUGUGCCUCACUAGCCAGAAAUCAGAAAAGAUCGAAGCUAGCCUUUUCAUCUCAGCUGCUCCUUAAAUCAGUGCAACCCCUCCAAAUUAAUGUGAAUUGAAACUUGCAUUGCUUUUCAACUUAAUUGAAUACUUACUAUAUGUGAACCACUGCACAAAAUAGGGGAAGAAGAUGUGGGAGACAAAGAUGUGGAGCCUGUCUUCAAUAAAUUUACAGUUAGUUUCAGGGUACAUUGUUUUUCUUCUGCUGUUAAUUAGGUGUAUCCCCAAGACAAUAAAUACAUGAAUGGAAAAGUAUAUUCUGUGUUUUAAGUCUCUUUAAUAAAAAACAAAACAAAAUCCAAAAAAACUCCUAACAUGGCAACUCAGGACAUUUUAAUCCUUUUUUUUGUUGUUGGGCUUCUGAUAGGAUCCAUUUUAUUGAUUCCAUAAAUAUUUAGUAGACUUUAGACAUAUUAAUACAUUGUAGUUUGAGUUAAUUUGCAUUAAAUUCUGUUUUUUUCCCCUUAGGUAUAGAUUGUCUGUUGGAAAAAUAUAUUGCUUGUGGAUUUCUUGGGGAGUGGGAAGGUGAAUUAUACCUGUUGUCUCUACAGUCCACUACCUUCCACACCCUAGGGCAGUGGUCCCCAACCUUCUUGGCACCAGGGAUCAGUUUCCUGGAAGACAAUUUUUCUGUGGAUGGUGUGGGGAUGGUUUUGGGAUGGAACUGUUCCACCUCAGAUCAUCAGGCAUUAGUUAGGCUCUCAUAACGAGUGCGCAGCCUAGAUCCCUCACAUGCACAGUUCACAGUAGGGUUUGCGCUGCUAUGAGAAUCUAAGGCUGCCACUGAUCUGACAGGAGGCAGAACUCAGGUGGCAAUGCUUACUGGCCCACUGCUCACCUCUUGCUGUGCGGCCUGGUUCCUAAUAGGCCAUGGACCCCCACAGACGGGUACUAGUCUGCAGCCUGUGGACCCCAGCCCUAGGGGCCUGCCAUUCUGAGUGAGUUAUUAGCAUGAAGAAGAGGAAGAUCUGGAUCAAACGUGGGUGAUGGUACUCAGAGACCCAAGAUAGGAUAGGGAUGGAACAAAAUCCAUCUGGGCAACGGCUCUAUGAAAAUUUGGCUAAGUAAUUAUUUCAGUAUUCAUUGUAUUCAUUGUCCUUCGUGUUCCAUAAGUUAAAUGACUGUCUAAUUUUUCCAAAAAUUUAUUUCUGACUUGAGAAUAAGUGUGUCAUGAUUUUCCCAGUGUAAAGACACUGAUAUAACUGUAGAUACCAGACAUUUUAUGUAGUGUCUAUGACACAUUUUAGUAUGUAUGAGCCAACAAUAGACAUGUCUUUGUCUUGAGGAGUGUCCAUCUGAAUUGAAAAUGUGUCAGCUUUUUUUUAACAUCAUCAACAGACUUCUUAAUUAAGCUGCCAAUACAUACUGCCAAUAGCACUGUGUGCUGUCUGAGAAAUGCAUUGUGUAAGUGCUAUUUCCAUCUUAUUAAAUAAACAAUGUUGCUCUGUAUAAACUGGAUUUAAAGUGUUCUUUGAAUGAGGCAUUAUAUUGCUCCAUAAAUAAUGUGAUGUGAAUUCUCAUAUGAUCCCUUUUAACUUAAUUUCUAAAAAAAUAUUAUUUGCUCCUCAGUAAGGAAUAGCUCUAAUUGGACUGGUAACUUUAGUGAUAUGAUUUGUCUGUAACAGGCUGAAUCGCCCCACUCCCAAACUCCUGGUCGUGAUACUGGAUAUUUGUUAUGCCACUUUUAGUUUGCAUGAGGUAUCUUCCAGGAAGUAUUAGUUAUUAACUUGUGUUCUACUAAACUGUAGAUAUUUAUUUCCUGUUCUGGAAGAUUUCUUGGAGUGUCCAUCUGUGCAUUCCUGGUGCCUAGUGUAGUCUUGCUAAUGGAAUAGCACCUUUAUUGGUGCUACUUAGGGGUUGGUAGCUUACAAUCAAUCUACUUGGAACGUAUCCAAAUAAAC
This 3182-nucleotide long non-coding RNA is filed under the name Homo sapiens (human). Its description in RNAcentral is "NR2F1 regulatory antisense RNA 1". The record is from RNAcentral. Lineage: Eukaryota; Metazoa; Chordata; Mammalia; Primates; Hominidae.